AGCGAACGCUGGCGGCAGGCCUAACACAUGCAAGUCGAACGGACCCUUCGGGGUUAGUGGCGGACGGGUGAGUAACACGCUGGAACGUGCCGUUAGGUUCGGGAUAGCUCCUGGAAACGGGUGGUAAUGCCGAAUGUGCCCUUCGGGGGAAAGAUUUAUCGCCUUUAGAGCGGCCCGCGUCUGAUUAGCUAGUUGGUGAGGUAACGGCUCACCAAGGCGACGAUCAGUAGCUGGUCUGAGAGGAUGACCAGCCACACUGGGACUGAGACACGGCCCAGACUCCUACGGGAGGCAGCAGUGGGGAAUCUUGCGCAAUGGGCGAAAGCCUGACGCAGCCAUGCCGCGUGAAUGAUGAAGGUCUUAGGAUUGUAAAAUUCUUUCACCGGGGACGAUAAUGACGGUACCCGGAGAAGAAGCCCCGGCUAACUUCGUG
Molecule: ribosomal RNA, 433 nt
Filed under: uncultured bacterium
Lineage: Bacteria
Description: partial 16S ribosomal RNA
Rfam family: Bacterial small subunit ribosomal RNA
Source: RNAcentral